RNAcentral lists this ribosomal RNA (465 nucleotides) under uncultured bacterium. RNAcentral's name for it is "partial 16S ribosomal RNA". It matches the Rfam family "Bacterial small subunit ribosomal RNA", at positions 28 to 507 of the family's 1533-position model. The record is from RNAcentral.
GACGAACGCUGGCGGCGUGCUUAACACAUGCAAGUCGUACGGUAAGGCCCUUUCGGGGGUACACGAGUGGCGAACGGGUGAGUAACACGUGAGUAACCUGCCCACAACUUUGGGAUGACGCUAGGAAACUGGUGCUAAUACUGGAUAUGUGCUCCUGCUGCAUGGUGGGGGUUGGAAAGCUCCGGCGGUUGUGGAUGGACUCGCGGCCUAUCAGCUUGUUGGUGGGGUAGUGGCCUACCAAGGCGGCGACGGGUAGCCGGCCUGAGAGGGUGACCGGCCACAUUGGGACUGAGAUACGGCCCAGACUCCUACGGGACGCAGCAGUGGGGAAUAUUGCACAAUGGGCGCAAGCCUGAUGCAGCAACGCCGCGUGCGGGAUGACGGCCUUCGGGUUGUAAACCGCCUUCAGCAGGGACGAAGCUUUUUGUGACGGUACCUGCAGAAGAAGCACCGGCUAACUACGUG